RNAcentral lists this ribosomal RNA (451 nucleotides) under uncultured bacterium. Its description in RNAcentral is "partial 16S ribosomal RNA". It matches the Rfam family "Bacterial small subunit ribosomal RNA", at positions 29 to 523 of the family's 1533-position model. The record is from RNAcentral.
AGCGAACGCUGGCGGCAGGCCUAACACAUGCAAGUCGAGCGGCCGUAGCAAUACGGCAGCGGCAGACGGGAGAGUAACACGUGGGAACGCGCCCUUCGGUUCGGGAUAACCCAGGGAAACUUGGGCUAAUACCGGAUACGCCCUUACGGGGAAAGAUUUAUUGCCGAAGGAACGGCCCGCGUCCGAUUAGCUAGUUGGUGAGGUAACGGCUCACCAAGGCGACGAUCGGUAGCUGGUCUGAGAGGAUGACCAGCCUCACUGGGACUGAGACACGGCCCAGACUCCUACGGGAGGCAGCAGUAGGGAAUAUUGGACAAUGGGCGCAAGCCUGAUCCAGCCAUGCCGCGUGGGUGAUGAAGGCCCUAGGGUUGUAAAGCCCUUUCAGCGGGGAAGAUAAUGACGGUACCCGCAGAAGAAGCCCCGGCUAACUUCGUGCCAGCAGCCGCGGUAA